RNAcentral lists this ribosomal RNA (548 nucleotides) under uncultured Glomeromycotina. Its description in RNAcentral is "SSU rRNA". It matches the Rfam family "Eukaryotic small subunit ribosomal RNA", at positions 548 to 1098 of the family's 1831-position model. The record is from RNAcentral. Lineage: Eukaryota; Fungi; Glomeromycota.
UUGGAGGGCAAGUCUGGUGCCAGCAGCCGCGGUAAUUCCAGCUCCAAUAGCGUAUAUUAAAGUUGCUGCAGUUAAAAAGCUCGUAGUUGAAUUUCGGGACCAUCAUGUCGGUCGUGCCUCGGUACGUACUGGUAUUGUUGGUUUCUCCCUUCUGACGAACCAUGAUGUCAUUUAUUUGGUGUUGUGGGGAAUCAGGACUGUUACUUUGAAAAAAUUAGAGCGUUUAAAGCAGGCUCACGCUUGAAUACAUUAGCAUGGAAUAACGAAAUAGGACGUUUGAUUCUAUUUUGUUGGUUUCUAGGAUCGACGUAAUGAUUAAUAGGGAUAGUUGGGGGCAUUAGUAUUCAAUUGUCAGAGGUGAAAUUCUUGGAUUUAUUGAAGACUAACUACUGCGAAAGCAUUUGCCAAGGAUGUUUUCAUUAAUCAAGAACGAAAGUUAGGGGAUCGAAGACGAUCAGAUACCGUCGUAGUCUUAACCAUAAACUAUGCCGACUAGGGAUCGGAUGAUGUUAAUUUUUUAAUGACUCAUUCGGCGCCUUACGGGAAAC